Juglans regia (Persian walnut) is the source of this 276-nucleotide long non-coding RNA. RefSeq lists it as uncharacterized. The record is from RefSeq and is a predicted model, not a curated record. The transcript is spliced from 3 exons. NCBI's taxonomy places the organism in Eukaryota, Viridiplantae, Streptophyta, Magnoliopsida, Fagales, Juglandaceae.
UACAGAUGUGAAUCUUGUCAUGGUCAGGCUGAAAGGCUUCUUGACUCUACAAAAGAAAUGGAAGACUCAAUUGCUGUGAAUUUAAGGUACUUCCUGUGAUGAUUGAUGUUGGAACUAAUACUGAGAAGCUGCUAAAAGACCCAUUGUAUUUGGGUCUUCAAGAACAUCGUCUUGAUGGUGAUGAGUAUGUUGCUGUCAUCGAUGAAUUCAUGAAUGCAGUUUUUACUCGUUGGCCAAAUGUGAUUGUGCAGUUUUUACUCGUUGGAUGUGCAUUGU